GGGGUUGUGGCUCAGAGGUAGAGUGCACACCCAGUAUGCGUGAGACACUGGGUUUGAUCCUCAGCACCACA
This 71-nucleotide transfer RNA is filed under the name Marmota monax (woodchuck). Its description in RNAcentral is "tRNA.Thr". Lineage: Eukaryota; Metazoa; Chordata; Mammalia; Rodentia; Sciuridae. The record is from RNAcentral.